GAUGAAGAACGCAGCAAAAUGCGAUACUUGGUGUGAAUUGCAGAAUCCCGUGAACCAUCGAGUUUUUGAACGCAAGUUGCGCCCGAAGCCUUUUGGCCGAGGGCACGUCUGCCUGGGCGUCACGCAUCGCGUCGCCCCCCACAAAUUCUCCGUCAGGGGAGCUUGUGUUUCGGGGGCGGAUACUGGUCUCCCUGCCCAUGGCGCGGUUGGCCGAAAUAGGAGUCCCUUCGAUGGACGCACGAACUAGUGGUGGUCGUAAAAACCCUCGUCUUUUGUUUCGUGCCGUUAGUCGCGAGGGAAGCUCUUCAAAAACCCCAACGCGUCGUCUCUUGACGGCGCUUCGACCGCGACCCCAGGUCAGGCGGGACUACCCGCUGAGUUUAAGCAUAUCAAUCAGCGGAGGA
RNAcentral lists this unclassified non-coding RNA (404 nucleotides) under soil metagenome. RNAcentral's name for it is "partial contains 5.8S ribosomal RNA, internal transcribed spacer 2, and large subunit ribosomal RNA". The stretch from base 1 to 122 matches the Rfam family "5.8S ribosomal RNA", at positions 35 to 154 of the family's 154-position model. The record is from RNAcentral.